This 792-nucleotide ribosomal RNA is filed under the name uncultured archaeon. RNAcentral's name for it is "bacterial SSU rRNA". It matches the Rfam family "Archaeal small subunit ribosomal RNA", at positions 85 to 879 of the family's 1478-position model. The record is from RNAcentral.
ACUGCUCAGUAACACGUGGACAACGUGCCCUAAAGUGGAGCAUAAUCUCGGGAAACUGAGGAUAAUUCUCCAUAGACCAUGAGAUCUGGAAUGACUUAUGGUUCAAAGUUCCGGCGCUUUAGGAUCGGUCUGCGGCCUAUCAGGUAGUAGUGGGUGUAACGUACCCCCUAGCCAGUUACAGGUAUGGGCCUUGAGAGAGGGAGCCCAGAGUUGGAUUCUGAGACACGAAUCCAGGCCCUACGGGGCGCAGCAGUCGCGAAAACUUCACAAUGGGCGAAAGCCCGAUGAGGGAAUUCCUAGUGCUAGCACAUUUGUGUUAGCUUUUCCUUAGCGUAGAUAACUAGGGGAAUAAGGGCUGGGUAAGACGGGUGCCAGCCGCCGCGGUAAUACCCGCAGCCCGAGUGGUGGUCGAUUUUAUUGAGUCUAAAACGUUCGUAGCCGGUCUGAUAAAUCCCUGGGUAAAUCGGGUGGCUUAACCAUCCGAAUUCCGGGGAGACUGUCAGGCUUGGGAUCGGGAGAGGUAUGAGGUACUUCAGGGGUAGGGGUAAAAUCCUGUAAUCCUUGGAGGACCACCGGUGGCGAAGGCGUCAUACUAGAACGAAUCCGACGGUGAGGGACGAAGCCCUAGGUCGCAAACGGGAUUAGAUACCCCGGUAGUCUAGGGUGUAAACGCUGCAGACUAGGUGUUGGAGGCCCUACGGGGGCACCCAGUGCCCGAGAGAAGUUGUUAAGUCUGCUACUUGGGGAGUACGUCCGCAAGGAUGAACCUUAAAGGAAUUGGCGGGGGAGCAC